This 253-nucleotide ribosomal RNA is filed under the name uncultured bacterium. RNAcentral describes it as "partial 16S ribosomal RNA". It matches the Rfam family "Bacterial small subunit ribosomal RNA", at positions 524 to 776 of the family's 1533-position model. The record is from RNAcentral.
UACAGAGGGUGCGAGCGUUGUUCGGAAUUAUUGGGCGUAAAGGGCUCGUAGGUGGCCAACUAAGUCACACGUGAAAUCCCUCGGCUUAACCGGGGAACUGCGUGUGAUACUGGAUGGCUUGAGUUUGGGAGAGGGAUGCGGAAUUCCAGGUGUAGCGGUGAAAUGCGUAGAUAUCUGGAGGAACACCGGUGGCGAAGGCGGCAUCCUGGACCAAUACUGACGCUGAGGAGCGAAAGCCAGGGGAGCAAACGGG